GAUCCUGGCUCAGAUUGAAUGCUGGCGGCAUGGCUAAAACAUGCAAGUCGAACGAACCCGCAAGGGUGAGUGGCGAAAGGGUUAGUAAUACGAUCGAACGUACCCCGAGGUGGAGGAUAGCGGCGGGAAACUGCCGGUAAUACUCCAUGAUGUCUUCGGACCAAAGUUUUGGCGCCUUGGGAGCGGCGAUCGUCCUAUCAGGUAGUUGGCGGGGUAAUGGCCCACCAAGCCUUAGACGGGUAGCGGGUGUGAGAGCACGGCCCGCAACAUCGGAACUGAGACACUGUCCGGACUCCUACGGGAGGCUGCAGUAACGAAUCUUCCGCAAUGGGCGCAAGCCUGACGGAGCAAUGCCGCGUGCGGGAUGAAGUAUCUCUGGUAUGUAAACCGCUGUCAGGGGACGGAAACAAUGAUUGUCCCCAGAGGAAGUGGCGACUAACUCUGUGCCAGCAGUCGCGGUAAUACAGAGGCCACGAGCAUUAGUCGGAAUCACUGGGCUUAAAGGGUGCGUAGGUGGC
This 518-nucleotide ribosomal RNA is filed under the name uncultured bacterium. RNAcentral's name for it is "bacterial SSU rRNA". It matches the Rfam family "Bacterial small subunit ribosomal RNA", at positions 15 to 579 of the family's 1533-position model. The record is from RNAcentral.